GAUGAACGCUAGCGACAGGCCUAACACAUGCAAGUCGAGGGGCAGCGCGGAGGUAGCAAUACUUCUGGCGGCGACCGGCGCACGGGUGAGUAACACGUAUGCAAUCUGCCUGUAACAGGGGGAUAACCCGGAGAAAUCCGGCCUAAUACCCCAUAACGACGAGAUCUCGCAUGGGGAUUCGUCUAAAGAGAGCAAUCUUGGUUACAGAUGAGCAUGCGGUCCAUUAGCCAGUUGGCGGGGUAACGGCCCACCAAAGCGACGAUGGAUAGGGGUUCUGAGAGGAAGGUCCCCCACAUUGGAACUGAGACACGGUCCAAACUCCUACGGGAGGCAGCAGUGAGGAAUAUUGGUCAAUGGGCGAGAGCCUGAACCAGCCAAGUCGCGUGAGGGAAGACGGCCCUAAGGGUUGUAAACCUCUUUUAGAUGAGAGUAAAGGUACCUACGCGUAGGUAUUUGCAAGUAUCAUCAGAAUAAGCAUCGGCUAAUUCCGUG
Molecule: ribosomal RNA, 492 nt
Filed under: uncultured bacterium
Lineage: Bacteria
Description: bacterial SSU rRNA
Rfam family: Bacterial small subunit ribosomal RNA
Source: RNAcentral